This 279-nucleotide ribosomal RNA is filed under the name uncultured bacterium. RNAcentral's name for it is "partial 16S ribosomal RNA". It matches the Rfam family "Bacterial small subunit ribosomal RNA", at positions 506 to 784 of the family's 1533-position model. The record is from RNAcentral.
UGCCAGCAGCCGCGGUAAUACGGAGGGUACGAUCGUGAAUCGGAAUGACUGGGCGCAAAGCGAGCGCAGGCGGUCUGAUCAGUCGGAUGUGAAAGCCCCGGGCUUAACCUGGGAAUUGCAUUCGAUACUGUCAGACUAGAGUAUGGGAGAGGGAAGUGGAAUUUCUAGUGUAGCGGUGAAAUGCGUAGAUAUUAGAAGGAACACCAGUGGCGAAGGCGGCUUCAUGGCCCAAUAAGGAAGCGCUGGCUAGAACGCGUGGGGCGCGAACAGGAGUAGAUC